This is a long non-coding RNA of Dreissena polymorpha, 787 nucleotides long. RefSeq lists it as uncharacterized. The record is from RefSeq and is a predicted model, not a curated record. NCBI's taxonomy places the organism in Eukaryota, Metazoa, Mollusca, Bivalvia, Myida, Dreissenidae. The transcript is spliced from 2 exons.
AGGGCUUUUUUUCCUUCUUUGCGAUUGGCCGUGGACGGACAUUUCACAAUUUUGACACGGCCAAUUCACAAACCUGACAUGGCCGUGAAUAUUUACAAAAACGGCCGUUUUAAAUCGUGAAAAACGGACUUUUUGUGCUCAAAACUGUCAAAAACGGCCAUUUCGGAACAGAAAUAUAAGUUUCAUAACCUCGUUUUUAAUUCCGAAUUCGCGAAAAACUGUCGACUCGCGUUACCGAUGUUUGUUUGUUUUAAUCGAUUUUAAAGUGUUGUGUAACCGGUGAAACCGGCGUAAAUAGUAAAAGCUCUGCCCAGCAACGUCACUAUAAAAAAUGGCGACGCCGAACGCUCUCUCCUACACGAAGAAAAUUUAAAAAAAAACGCAAAAUAAUCCCGAUUUAUUUAAAUUUGGGAUAACAGUAAAGAAACAAAAGCUUUCUACAGAAGGAUCAAAUGACAACCUCCCAGGGAGAUCAUCAUACACUGGCGAGGGUCAGGCUCACAGAACAUGAAAAUUAUCAUGAAGAAGGAAUUUUCCUCUUCAGAUUUUGAGAGAAUUAUUGACAUUUUCAAGAGUAAAAAGAACAGAGUUCUAAAGCUGUAAAGUCCAGAACAUGUCUGAGUUAUGUGCCCUUGAAAUGUUCUAUGUUUAUAAAUGUUAUUCCUGUGGUAAAGAAUUGUUGGGACCAGGUAUUUUAGUUGCAUUUGGUACAUGAAUAAUUUUUUGCAAAUCAGAUAUAUGUAUAUGUGUUGUUAUUGUAUCAAAUACAGUAUUCAUAGAAGGAAAA